RNAcentral lists this long non-coding RNA (365 nucleotides) under Mytilus galloprovincialis (Mediterranean mussel). The record is from RNAcentral. Lineage: Eukaryota; Metazoa; Mollusca; Bivalvia; Mytilida; Mytilidae.
CUGGUUGCCAUUUAAGUUGGUUGAUGGUUUUAUUGGAUAUGAAUUGAACUAAAACUACAUGUAUUAAGUAAUAAAGACUGAAUUAUAACUGAAACAGUGGGUUUAGAUUUGAUUUCUGAAAACUGUUGCAGCUUUUGUCAGGGUUGGUGUUGCUCAGUCUUCAGUUUUCUAUGUUGUGUUGUAUGUCUACAGGUCUUUUUCUUUUUGAGCAAUGGUGUUGUCAGUUUAUUUUGAACAAUGAGUUUGAAUGGCCCUCUGGUUUUUUUUUAUAACAAAAGUUAGAACAUGACCAAAGGAUAUCAAUUUCAUAGGAUAACUAAAAAUAUCCACAGGUACCAAGUAAUAAAUAAAUAAACAAAAGUGUU